CUGUUGCCUCGGCGGGAUCUCUGCCCCGGGUGCGUCGCAGCCCCGGACCAAGGCGCCCGCCGGAGGACCAACCAAAACUCUUAUUGUAUACCCCCUCGCGGGUUUUUUUAUAAUCUGAGCCUUCUCGGCGCCUCUCGUAGGCGUUUCGAAAAUGAAUCAAAACUUUCAACAACGGAUCUCUUGGUUCUGGCAUCGAUGAAGAACGCAGCGAAAUGCGAUAAGUAAUGUGAAUUGCAGAAUUCAGUGAAUCAUCGAAUCUUUGAACGCACAUUGCGCCCGCCAGUAUUCUGGCGGGCAUGCCUGUCCGAGCGUCAUUUCAACCCUCGAACCCCUCCGGGGGGUCGGCGUUGGGGAUCGGCCCUGCCUUGGCGGUGGCCGUCUCCGAAAUACAGUGGCGGUCUCGCCGCAGCCUCUCCUGCGCAGUAGUUUGCACACUCGCAUCGGGAGCGCGGCGCGUCCACAGCCGUUAAACACCCAACUUCUGAAAUGUUGACCUCGGAUCAGGUAGGAAUACCCGCUGAACUUAAGCAUAU
This 533-nucleotide ribosomal RNA is filed under the name Trichoderma harzianum. Its description in RNAcentral is "eukaryotic LSU rRNA". The stretch from base 161 to 314 matches the Rfam family "5.8S ribosomal RNA". The record is from RNAcentral. Lineage: Eukaryota; Fungi; Ascomycota; Sordariomycetes; Hypocreales; Hypocreaceae.